UACGUAGGGUGCGAGCGUUGUCCGGAAUUAUUGGGCGUAAAGAGCUUGUAGGCGGUUUUGUCGCGUCUGCUGUGAAAAUCCGGGGCUCAACCCCGGACUUGCAGUGGGUACGGGCAGACUAGAGUGUGGUAGGGGAGACUGGAAUUCCUGGUGUAGCGGUGAAAUGCGCAGAUAUCAGGAGGAACACCGAUGGCGAAGGCAGGUCUCUGGGCCACUACUGACGCUGGAGAAAGCGAAAAGC
This 241-nucleotide ribosomal RNA is filed under the name uncultured bacterium. Its description in RNAcentral is "partial 16S ribosomal RNA". It matches the Rfam family "Bacterial small subunit ribosomal RNA", at positions 524 to 761 of the family's 1533-position model. The record is from RNAcentral.